This 468-nucleotide ribosomal RNA is filed under the name uncultured bacterium. Its description in RNAcentral is "partial 16S ribosomal RNA". It matches the Rfam family "Bacterial small subunit ribosomal RNA", at positions 28 to 507 of the family's 1533-position model. The record is from RNAcentral.
GACGAACGCUGGCGGCGUGCUUAACACAUGCAAGUCGAACGGAAAGGCCCUGCUUUUGUGGGGUGCUCGAGUGGCGAACGGGUGAGUAACACGUGAGUAACCUGCCCUUGACUUUGGGAUAACUUCAGGAAACUGGGGCUAAUACCGGAUAGGAGCUCCUGCUGCAUGGUGGGGGUUGGAAAGUUUCGGCGGUUGGGGAUGGACUCGCGGGUUAUCAGCUUGUUGGGGGGGUAGUGGCUUACCAAGGCUUUGACGGGUAGCCGGCCUGGGAGGGUGACCGGGCACAUUAGGACUGAGCUACGGACCAGAAUCCUACGGGAGGCAGCAGUGGGAAAUAUUGCACAAUAGGCCGAAGCCUGAUGCGACAACGCCGCGUGCGGGAUGACGGCCUUCGGGUUGUAAACCGCUUUCGCCUGUAACGAAGCGUGAGUGACGGUAAUGGAUAAAGAAGCACCGGCUAACUACGUG